Molecule: unclassified non-coding RNA, 1362 nt
Filed under: uncultured Neocallimastigales
Lineage: Eukaryota; Fungi; Neocallimastigomycota; Neocallimastigomycetes; Neocallimastigales
Description: partial contains internal transcribed spacer 1, 5.8S ribosomal RNA, internal transcribed spacer 2, and large subunit ribosomal RNA
Rfam family: Eukaryotic large subunit ribosomal RNA (bases 594-1362)
Source: RNAcentral
AAAAUAAUCCUACCCUUUGUGAAUUUUGUUUGUUUGAAUGAUUUUUUUUUUUUAAAAAAUUAUUGGAGUCUUUCCCUUUAGAGUUUGCUUUUGAGUUUGUAAAAGAAUUCGAAAACAUCUAAAGGGGAUGGUCAAUAAUUUUUUUUGAAAAAGACAUUUUUUAAAAUUAAACUUUUUGUAUUCAUUUGUCUAAAAAUUAUUUUUAUAAUAUAAAAACAACUUUUGACAAUGGAACUCUUGGUUCUCGCAACGAUGAAGAACGCAGCAAAAUGCGAUAAGUAGUGUGAAUUGCAGAAUACGUGAAUCAUCGAAUCUUUGAACGCAUAUUGCACUUUUUUAGUUUACUAAAAAGUAUGUCUGUUUGAGUAUCAGUAAAAUAUUCUCAUAAAAAUCAUUGUGUAUUUUAUGGUUAUGAGUGUUUUACAACGAUACAAGUUGUUUCACUUUAAAUUUUUUUUAAUAUUGAAAUUUUUCUAAUUUUAAUAAUUAAAAUUGGAUAAAAUUUUCCCGUCAAAAGGAAUAACCUAAACAAUUUUAAAUGAUUAAUUUUAGCAAAAUUUUCGAAAAAAAGGAAAAUUUUUAUUAAAAUAACUUGAUCUCAAAUCAGAUGAGAGUACCCGCUGAACUUAAGCAUAUCAAUAAGCGGAGGAAAAGAAACUAACAAGGAUUCCCCAGUAACGGCGAGUGAAGCGGGAAGAGCUCAAAUUUGAAAUCUUGAAGGUCACCUUUCACGAAUUGUAGUUUAAAGAAGUGUUUUCUGUUACGAUCGUAAUAUAAGUUCUUUGGAAUAGGACAUCACAGAGGGUGAGAAUCCCGUCUAUGAUUGCGAUUUGUAGCUUGUGAUACACUUUCAAAGAGUCGGGUUGUUUGGGAAUGCAGCCCAAAACGGGAGGUAAAUUUCUUCUAAGGCUAAAUAUUGGCGAGAGACCGAUAGCGAACAAGUACCGUGAGGGAAAGAUGAAAAGAACUUUGAAAAGAGAGUUAAAUAGUACGUGAAAUUGUCAAAAGGGAAUCGUUUAACACCAGUGUUGUUUUCUGAAAAUCAACCUCUGUUAGCUUUAUGCAUGUUUGUUUAGACCUAAUCAGCUAUCUUGCAUGUUCUAUUGUUUGCAGUGGUGCACUUUUCAGUUUACAGGUCAACAUCAGUUUUUUUUACCGUAAAAAAGUUAAAGAAAGGUAGCUCAUGGCUCCGGUCGUGAGUGCUAUAGUCUUUUUCCUAUGCGGUAGGAGAGACUGAGGUCUGCAGUGUAGGCUAUUUGGCUAGAUACUCAGGUGCUAUGUGAUACCAUUUCAUAAACAACUUGUUGAUUAUGUUUUGUCUAUUGCAUACUCGCUUGUACUAUCAUACCUACGCUUAGGAUG